This 77-nucleotide transfer RNA is filed under the name Neisseria flavescens. RNAcentral describes it as "tRNA-Arg(tct)". It matches the Rfam family "tRNA". From Rfam's summary of the family: Transfer RNA (tRNA) molecules are approximately 80 nucleotides in length. Their secondary structure includes four short double-helical elements and three loops (D, anti-codon, and T loops). RNAcentral also lists the same sequence under 2 other names. Lineage: Bacteria; Pseudomonadati; Pseudomonadota; Betaproteobacteria; Neisseriales; Neisseriaceae. The record is from RNAcentral.
GCAAUCGUAGCUCAAUUGGAUAGAGCAACGAGCUUCUACCUCGUAGGUUGAGGGUUCGAUUCCUUCCGGUUGCGCCA